GAUGAACGCUGGCGGCGUGCCUAAUACAUGCAAGUCGAGCGAACGGACGAGAAGCUUGCUUCUCUGAUGUUAGCGGCGGACGGGUGAGUAACACGUGGAUAACCUACCUAUAAGACUGGGAUAACUUCGGGAAACCGGAGCUAAUACCGGAUGAUAUUUUGAACCGCAUGGUUCAAAAGUGAAAGACGGUCUUGCUGUCACUUAUAGAUGGAUCCGCGCUGCAUUAGCUAGUUGGUAAGGUAAUGGCUUACCAAGGCAACGAUGCAUAGCCGACCUGAGAGGGUGAUCGGCCACACUGGAACUGAGACAAGGCCCAGACUCCUACGGGAGGCAGCAGUAGGGAAUCUGCCGCAAUGGGCGAAAGCCUGACGGAGCAACGCCGCGUGAGUGAUGAAGGUCUUCGGAUCGUAAAACUCUGUUAUUAGGGAAGAACAUAUGUGUAAGUAACUGUGCACAUCUUGACGGUACCUAAUCAGAAAGCCACGGCUAACUACGUG
Molecule: ribosomal RNA, 497 nt
Filed under: uncultured bacterium
Lineage: Bacteria
Description: partial 16S ribosomal RNA
Rfam family: Bacterial small subunit ribosomal RNA
Source: RNAcentral